Long non-coding RNA from Lolium perenne, 2327 nucleotides. RefSeq lists it as uncharacterized. The record is from RefSeq and is a predicted model, not a curated record. Lineage: Eukaryota; Viridiplantae; Streptophyta; Magnoliopsida; Poales; Poaceae.
UUUUCCUUAAUUUACAUCAGCGGUUUCUCUUCUUUUCUGGUCGUGGGGUGCCGGAGUUACGAGCUAGCCCAUCAUCAUCUAUCGUCUAGUCGCGUGCGUGCGGUUCUGGAAUUUCGACGGCUUCAGGCUGGUGCGGGCGGCGCCGCGGCGAGCGACUUCACUUGGGCAUUGCGGUCGGCGGUGAGCGCUGCAGUUGGAAUUGCGGUGGUCGCGAGGGCUACAUACAGCUGAGGAUUGGGGCAGGCGGCGCCGCGGCGGGUGUCCUCGGCGGCGCUGUCAUGGUGGGUGGGUCGAUUCGUCUCCAGUUCCGUUGAAUCCGCAGCGGUGUCAGCGGCGCUGGGCAGUGCGGCGUCUUGUAUUGCCGGGCUUCCAGGCAGCACGGUGUCUGGUCGUCGUCGAGCAGCAUGGCGGGUGGCCGCUGCGGGCGGCGCUGCAUGUUCAAUCGACAUCCUUGAGCGGCAGGUGAACUAUGCCCAUGGACAUCACUACGUCAGGUACGUGGCUCGUUUGCUCUCCCUUGUCACAUCCCUCUUUCUUCUCAACACCAUGCCUCAGCUCCACCCCGUCGGAUCUGACCUCGCCGAGAAUCCGGCAGCCGGAUCUGGUGAGUCCCGUUAGGUCCUCUGUAAUCCACGCGCUGCUCGUCGACUUCGGCCCGCCCGGCCACCACGCGUCGCAUCCAACUUCACCGUGGAUCUGCCGCCCUCCAUCCUGCAGUUGCCGGAGUUCCCCGGCGCCUCGCACCAGCAGACCUCCACCAUCCUCCCGAAAUCGGGCGCCGCCUCCACCAACCUGCCACCGCCACACAGUCCCCCCUACCCGGCGUAUAUCAGCAACGUCGAGCCUCUUUAUCCCCUUAUUGUAAAGCAAAAUUAAGACAAAGAAGUGAACUAGGAAGGCAGGGUGCCUGAUGUGAUUGUUGUGAUGGAAUGGUUUAAUUGGAUGCUAUGUUGCAUGGAGCUGAGGGAUAACAAUGUUUCAGUUGCCAGAGGGAUUGGUGAACAACUGAAGCUAACAGGAAAUUUCUGGCCAUAUGCAAAUUGAGCUACUUGAAGACAAGUUCAGAGUUCAGACCUGUAUCUGGCAAUAAAUUUGUGCAAGUCGGCUUCCAGUACGAGAAAUCAGCAAGCCACCACUUUGAACACUCCCAUCUACCUCACAUAUGGCGUGGUCGAUAAUGGAGCUCCCAUCCUCAGGUUCGCCAUUUUUUUGUCUGCUCUGAUCCAUCAAAUGUUCAUUAUUAAGAAAAAAAAAAGAUGUUGCAUCAUUACCUUCUGCCUUCUUUGGGGUGUUCAGGAAUACACGCAUUGUUCAGGUCAACUUGUAAGCAAUUAAGCAUUAAGCAUUUGUAUAAUAUAAUUUAUUCUGCAACCAAACGCUGGCACAUAGCGUGCCUUGGCAUUAUUCUUUUGUUGAUACCAAUUGAUUUAUGACUAGCUAUGCAGUCUUUCAUGUAAAAGUUAAAGAAAUGGUUGGCUCACUUUGCUGCAUGUCACCAAUGUGUAAUUUCUGAUCAAUCACGAAAUAGACAGUAAUUUUUUGUCUCUUGUUGUAGCUUGGCUCUACCAAUCUAAUUAUUAACAGGUCAAGUUAUUUUCAUCCUAAUUGAAUUUUAUUUCACUUCAGCGGAGUGGCAACCCAAUAUAAUUUUGUCGGUCACUGCUAGCAGUUCUCAAACCUGCAACCAUGAUUUUUAGAAUCUUGAAUCGAUAAUUUUCAUCAUUACUCGAAUGCUAAAUGACAUCGUUUCCCAUUUUGCAGAAAACUUGGCUCCAGUCUUGUGAGCAUCGUGGUCUAGUGUUGAUUCAUGUUGCUGCAAACUUAGCAUAUGCACUUGUUUGUUACACAAAUUCAAGUUACGUUGCAGGUUCAUCCCACUUAUAAGCAUUUGGCAAAUUUGUUGCAGGUUCAUAUUAUAAUGAUCUCUUGAUGGCAAUGCUGUCGCAUUUGGGCAUGAGCAUAGUAACUAUUCACCAAUGGUACGAUAAAGGCAUAGCUUCUGCUGUCAACUAAGCAAGCCUUGCACUUGUGCCAAAUGGAAAGGAACUAGCAAGUCGUCCGUUAUAAACAUCGGUGGUUAUGCCAUUGGGACAGUAUACUUUGUUACAUUGAUUAGUUCAAGUUUUUUGUUCUGCGGUAGUUCUACCAUGACUUGGAGUUCUUAUGUCGUGUUGUCGGAGACAUGUUCCUUUAUGUCAAGAUUGGCACCUGAAAUUCUUAGGUGACAUAAUGUAUUCAGAAUUUUAUGCGACAUAAUGUAUUGGAAUUCUUUGAGUGACAUAAUGUAUCGUACGACAAUUAGUGGAACAUAAUGUAUCUUUAAGUAA